Molecule: long non-coding RNA, 2297 nt
Organism: Daphnia pulex (common water flea)
Lineage: Eukaryota; Metazoa; Arthropoda; Branchiopoda; Diplostraca; Daphniidae
Exons: 4
Source: RefSeq, a predicted model, not a curated record
CAAGAAUAACAAUCCAGUAACGUGGAGGACGUUUGAAAUCGGAAUUGGAAAUUUCAAUUUUAGAUUUCUGAACAUGCGCACACUCGACAGAAGAAACACACACACGACCGCACCCGACACGAGGCAAGGCCUUACACACGUAGAGCACAAUGAUACAGGGGAUUCUGCUAUGGAUGGCGGCCAUGAUGGAUUUUCUUACCUGCCUGCCUUCUCCUCUGAAAUGGUCGUCUGAUUCAAAACUGCCAAACGUUGUCGUGCCAAUGCAUGUGCCAAUGAUAAACACCAGUACGCAAUUUACGUUUGUGCACACAAGUUAUUCGGUUGAUUGUUUUUCCUUUCCCAAAAUGGUGGGAAAGAGGCGUCUCCUGACUGAUGACAGGAAAGAUAUGUUACACAACCGUGAAAAGUUUGGUUUUCCAGUAUUGGUGUCAAUCAAAACUGUUUGAAAUAUGUAACAUUUUCAGAAGGAAUAACUGUUUAAUGCUGUUGUCUAUUCAGUAUUUUUGUUGCUCCCUAAGGAACCAUCAAGCAAGGGCUUGGUGAGAGACUGCUGUAUACUGGAUAAACUCUACUCUCAGUUUAGCAGUCUUGAAAUCAAUCAAAUCAACUGGAUAUUCAGUGUUUUUAACAGGGAAUGGCUAAUAAUACUUUGAGUGUAAUGUCAACUUAAAGCAGAACACACAUUUCAACAAAAUCUGAGCCACGAAUCACCUCAUCACGCUCUUAAAUGUCCUCGCCCAGAGCUCCAGUAUCUUGUGGUGUGCAGCUACAUCCAGCUGCGACGCUGGUGGAGAUGAUAUUUUCAGGUAGACCGGUCGCCGGAUCCCUAAUGGAAACCUGUAGAGUCGUCAUCAGCUGUUUGCAACUGCGUCCUGUCCCGCAAUUUUCAUUUUUGCAGGUUCCUGAGCAAACGAUUUCGUCGAUGGCGACCACAACAUUUCCCAGUGGAUGAUCGUUUUCUACGGUUUUGUUUUCCACUUUGAAAGGACAAACAGUUUGGGAAUGUCGACCGAGUUCCUGCAGUUCGUCCACGAUGGAAACCAUGCGAUACUGGACCACGUCGUCUUCUUCUUCAGGCAGUCCAAGUUGACCGGAACCAAUUGCGCCAGUGCUUGGUAGGACCAGGCAAUGAGCUGCGGAGACACAAAAGGUAACCAAAAGCAAGAUUGUUUUCAUCGUCAAGGUAAUGAUUGAAAGAAGGACUGGGAGUAAUUCAGAGGAGUAACUAUGAGCCGAGUUCAAAGUGGUUGUGAUGGAUUCAGUUCUCGAAUCGAUCGGUUUUAUAUGAGAAUUGAAAGUUUCAAGGAUGUCAAUAUCCGCAGCACAUAUCACAUCUGUUUGAGGUUUUUGCAAAUCAUUCUUCUCUGUUAGCGGAUUCCCCGUUUAAUAUUUCCGUUGAUUUAGUGACGCAAGGCGCGUCGCUCUACGUCAUUAAAAAAUUCAUUUAUAACGUUCUACUGAUGAAGGUCGCCCAAACAUUGUUUACCUUCCCGAAAUGUGGUUGAUCCUUUAUCCGCCAGGUCUUUCAGCAGUAGCCUACUGCACGUUUAAAUUUCCGUUUAUUGUUCACCGCGAAACAUUAAACUUUUGGGGUUUCGGAAGGAAGUUAACCAUCGAGUGCGCUCGUAAGGGAAAUCACGAAGGGAGGGGGGGAAUGCGGAAUACGUGACGGAUGUUGGAAAAGUUGUUACCAUGGUAAUAGUACAUUGAUUCUAUUGGAGAUACGUGCUUGUUGUUUUCGCCGUCCUGUUUAGUAUUUCCAUGACGCUUUCUAUCCUUUCCAACCGCACGUUCGUCGGUAUCUGUGCCAGUUAACCGCAAUUAUUCGGAUGAUAUUGCGACGUGGUUAAAUCGGUUUCCUCUUGCAGCGGGAUUAAACACAUUUCGCCAUUGACCCAGUCGAAUCCAUCAGUUGCUCAAUUGUGUUUUUUAUUGUACAAGAGUUUAGCAGCUGUGUUUUACCUUAAUUGAAAAUUGGGGGGAAGAAACCGUAUAGGUUAUUGUUUUGACGGAAACGGAAUAGUGUUGUGAGUUUGUUUUCACGAUUGCUGUUGGAAAUCCGUAAUUAUGUGUUUCCCGCGUUUGCGCUUGUGCGAUGAUUUUCCAGAAAUAAUUUCGGAUCCUUAACAUCCUUAUUUAAAAUGUCAGAUCAUAUCCCGCCGGUUCUAGUAGAGAGAUGGUUGAUUUAUCUUUCUGUACAUCUGUAGGUUGUUUAGCAUAUAUAUAUAUUUUUAAAUCACCCACGUUUAAUGUUCAGUUCUGGAAUGGCAAAUUUGUUCUGCCCUUGGGUUUUUUUU